ACAUCUGUUUAGUAUUUAUGUGCUGCUGACUGGAUCUGAAGUGUUACAUCACCACUGUCAAGAUGAAGAAUACACUCUGCUUACUGCUGCUCUCAUUCAGCCUACAACGCAUAAAAUGUCAAAGUAUGGAGUCCAUUGAAAGCACAACUGUGAAGAAGCCUGGAGAAACUCUGACUCUGUCCUGUAGAGGAUCUGGGUUCAGCUUUGGCUGCUGUAGCAUGCACUGGAUCAGACAACAAGCUGGAAAACCCCUUGUGUGGAUGGGCGGCAGUGGCUAUGGCUACUCUGAAUCCUUCAAAGGUCGAACUGAAAUCACCAGAGAUAAUUCAAAGAGUAUGGUGUAUCUGAAACUAUCAGGCCUGACAGCAGAAGACUCAGCCGUGUAUUAUUGUGCAAGAGACUCACUGUGACACAAAGGUCUUGUACAGCUGAACAAAAACCACACUGACUGUUUUCUCUGAUGUCACUAGAGUUCAACAGAUGGCAGCAGAGAAUAAAAAAUCUAUAAAACACAGCCUGAUGAAAAUAUGCUGUUAAAUAUGCAGUGAAGUUCACUAUAAAAGCUUAAACAUGACAGCACAAAGGCUCUGACUCCUUUAACACAAUGUGUGUGUUUUUCUAUGUGUAGAUUUGUGUUAGUGGUUAAAUAUUUUAC
Non-coding RNA from Carassius auratus (goldfish), 655 nucleotides. The record is from the annotation of a RefSeq genome assembly. Lineage: Eukaryota; Metazoa; Chordata; Actinopteri; Cypriniformes; Cyprinidae.